This 88-nucleotide transfer RNA is filed under the name Novipirellula artificiosorum. It matches the Rfam family "tRNA". From Rfam's summary of the family: Transfer RNA (tRNA) molecules are approximately 80 nucleotides in length. The record is from Rfam by way of RNAcentral. Lineage: Bacteria; Pseudomonadati; Planctomycetota; Planctomycetia; Pirellulales; Pirellulaceae.
GGGGCUGUGGUGUAACUGGCAGCAUGACGGACUUUGCUGUGACGUCUGUUAAGGGCGUUCGGUGAGGGUUCAACUCCCUUCGGCCCCA